RNAcentral lists this ribosomal RNA (554 nucleotides) under Rousettus madagascariensis (Madagascan rousette). RNAcentral describes it as "partial 16S ribosomal RNA". It matches the Rfam family "Bacterial large subunit ribosomal RNA", at positions 1817 to 2597 of the family's 2925-position model. The record is from RNAcentral. Lineage: Eukaryota; Metazoa; Chordata; Mammalia; Chiroptera; Pteropodidae.
CACCUCCAGCAUAGCAAUUAUUGGAGGCACUGCCUGCCCAGUGACUUCCGUUAAACGGCCGCGGUAUCCUGACCGUGCAAAGGUAGCAUAAUCAUUUGUUCUCUAAAUAAGGACUUGUAUGAAUGGCCACACGAGGGUUUUACUGUCUCUUACUUCCAAUCAGUGAAAUUGACCUUCCCGUGAAGAGGCGGGAAUUCACAAAUAAGACGAGAAGACCCUAUGGAGCUUUAAUUAAUUGACCCACAGAAUAACACCUCACAUUUCUAAGGAAAACAAAUUAGCCUUCUGCUGGAUCAACAAUUUCGGUUGGGGUGACCUCGGAAAACAAAAUAACUUCCGAGUGAUUUCAACUAAGACUGACGAGUCAAAGUCCACAAUCACUUAGUGAUCCAAAAAUUCUUUUGAUCAACGGAACAAGUUACCCUAGGGAUAACAGCGCAAUCCUAUUCGAGAGUCCAUAUCGAUAAUAGGGUUUACGACCUCGAUGUUGGAUCAGGACAUCCCAAUGGUGCACCCGCUAUUAAUGGGUCCGUUUGUUCAACGAUUUAAGUCCU